UACGUAGGGUGCGAGCGUUAAUCGGAAUUACUGGGCGUAAAGCGUGCGCAGGCGGUCCGCAAAGUCUGAUGUGAAAGCCCCGGGCUCAACCUGGGAACUGCAUUGGAAACUAACGGGCUCGAGUGUGGCAGAGGGGGGUGGAAUUCCACGUGUAGCAGUGAAAUGCGUAGAGAUGUGGAGGAACACCGAUGGCGAAGGCAGCCCCCUGGGCUAACACCGACGCUCAGGCACGAAAGCGUGGGGAGCGAACAGG
Molecule: ribosomal RNA, 253 nt
Filed under: uncultured bacterium
Lineage: Bacteria
Description: partial 16S ribosomal RNA
Rfam family: Bacterial small subunit ribosomal RNA
Source: RNAcentral